GGGAGCGUACGUACCACCGCACCGACCGACCGUCGCUCUGCGGCUACGCCGCACAGCAGUUAUUAUCGGCGGUAUGGUACAGCGGCACCGUAGAAAACCCCGUCACAAUGGCCGCUCAGAAGCACUGUAGAUACGAUUUCGCCACAGAAGAAAAACACUGUAGAUAAUAUGAUAGGGUGGCUCCCUUAAUAAUGGUUACAGUAGUAGUGACCAAACGAAGAAGGCGCUUGGGGAUCUUUGCUUGCUGCUAAAUAAACGAGGGAGGGGGUGGCGUCGGGUUGGGCACCAGAUCCAUCUCCUUGCUCCUCCCUCUUGAUCCCUCCAUGUACAGUUGGGGUACCGGACUGCAUUAUAGAAGGAUAGUUAGAUCUCGCAGCGGGUCGUUGGACAUCAAAUCCAUCUCGCACCGGGCAGAUCUAUCUACCGAUCUAUGAAAAAUAAAAAUGCAAUCUAGUAUGUGAUGCGUCCAUCCGCCGAGCCUAAAAGCUGCUGAAAGCCCUCCUGGACUGAUAAAUAAAGCUAGCAUGGUAGACGCACGCUGGCUGAUUGCCGGCCAGCGCAAAAGGCGGCCCAUUAUUAUUCCAUUCCCCCCCUCCGGCUAGCUCCUCGACAGCGAGAGGGAAGGAAACUGAAGAUAAGGAGAGUGAACGCCCCUGCUAAUUACUAACGGCCCCGCACGCACCAUCGAUAACGUAGGACUGUAUCCUUCUUCCUAGCGUGUCAAGCAUGUACGUAUGUUAUUGUAGGGGCGCACCAUUUAUUGGAGGCGAGGAGGGAGCCGGCACCGUUGGUGUUGGGGUUGAUGUGGGCGGGGAAUGGCAAAGCCCCCGAGGAGGAGACGAAACGGGUGGGGAGGGAGAGGGAGGUGGAUGGGGCCGUGAAUAAUUAAG
This 890-nucleotide long non-coding RNA is filed under the name Hordeum vulgare. RNAcentral describes it as "long non-coding RNA (HVUL_LNC005584)". The record is from RNAcentral. Lineage: Eukaryota; Viridiplantae; Streptophyta; Magnoliopsida; Poales; Poaceae.